Molecule: non-coding RNA, 72 nt
Organism: Podarcis lilfordi (Lilford's wall lizard)
Lineage: Eukaryota; Metazoa; Chordata; Lepidosauria; Squamata; Lacertidae
Source: the annotation of a GenBank genome assembly
GGGCUGUAGCCUUGGUAGCAGAGCACCUGCUUUGCUUGCAGAAGGUCCCAGGUUCAAUCCCUGGCAAAUCCA